CAGUCGCCGCGGGAAUACGUAGGGUGCAAGCGUUAAUCGGAAUUACUGGGCGUAAAGCGUGCGUAGGUGGUGGUUUAAGUCCGUUGUGAAAGCCCUGGGCUCAACCUGGGAAUUGCAGUGGAUACUGGGUCACUAGAGUGUGGUAGAGGAUAGUGGAAUUUCCGGUGUAGCAGUGAAAUGCGUAGAGAUCGGAAGGAACAUCUGUGGCGAAGGCGACUAUCUGGGCCAACACUGACACUGAGGCACGAAAGCGUGGGGAGCAAACAGGAUUAGAUACCCGCGUAGUCCCUGUCUCUUAUAC
This 301-nucleotide ribosomal RNA is filed under the name uncultured bacterium. Its description in RNAcentral is "partial 16S ribosomal RNA". It matches the Rfam family "Bacterial small subunit ribosomal RNA", at positions 509 to 807 of the family's 1533-position model. The record is from RNAcentral.